AUUGAACGCUGGCGGCAGGCCUAACACAUGCAAGUCGAGCGGAUGAAGGGAGCUUGCUCCUGGAUUCAGCGGCGGACGGGUGAGUAAUGCCUAGGAAUCUGUCUGGUAGUGGGGGAUAACGUCCGGAAACGGGCGCUAAUACCGCAUACGUCCUGAGGGAGAAAGUGGGGGAUCUUCGGACCUCACGCUAUCAGAUGAGCCUAGGUCGGAUUAGCUAGUUGGUGGGGUAAAGGCCUACCAAGGCGACGAUCCGUAACUGGUCUGAGAGGAUGAUCAGUCACACUGGAACUGAGACACGGUCCAGACUCCUACGGGAGGCAGCAGUGGGGAAUAUUGGACAAAGGGCGAAAGCCUGAUCCAGCCAUGCCGCGUGUGUGAAGAAGGUCUUCGGAUUGUAAAGCACUUUAAGUUGGGAGGAAGGGCAGUAAGUUAAUACCUUGCUGUUUUGACGUUACCAACAGAAUAAGCACCGGCUAACUUCGUG
This 484-nucleotide ribosomal RNA is filed under the name uncultured bacterium. RNAcentral's name for it is "partial 16S ribosomal RNA". It matches the Rfam family "Bacterial small subunit ribosomal RNA", at positions 30 to 507 of the family's 1533-position model. The record is from RNAcentral.